Molecule: long non-coding RNA, 1900 nt
Organism: Cyprinus carpio (common carp)
Lineage: Eukaryota; Metazoa; Chordata; Actinopteri; Cypriniformes; Cyprinidae
Exons: 4
Source: RefSeq, a predicted model, not a curated record
ACAGUACACUUUCCCUGAACACUUUGACCCUGCUUGACUGAGUUCCGAUCCAUAGAUUAGGUUGUCUAGAAUGCCUGUCAUGUCACGAUUUUGAGAAAGACUGUUCAGAUUUGCUAUAUGUGACACAGGUUUCUUUUAUGCAGACAGAAAACAGCUGAUAGGAAAAUGUAGCUUACAUGAUUGUCUACAAACAGCCUGACAAGUCUGUGAGAAUUCUGGCCUGCAAUGACACAGAGACUUGGACUCCAAAUUAGAGAUGUGUGAACAGCACAAUCUUUUUCCCAGUAGCACUGACAUUAAUGAGGAGCUCAGGUGUCAGGGGAAGAGACGUGUGUCAGACGUCAGGAGAUACCACUGUGGAGCCACAGAAGGGGAGCAACAAAAGGGGCUCAGAGAAGAGUGGGUGAGGUGUUUGUUGCAUAUCCUGAGAACGUGUGGCCAUGGGGGGUGUCAUUAGAGCCACUCGUUGGGCUGGUGGGUGGCCAGCAUGUGUGGAGAUCCGGACGCCUGUAAAUGUCACAGAAGAAAGUCCUACUGUGCAUAGAACUCAUUUCCUGUUAACAGCCAGCUCUCUCUAGUUCUGCAUUAUUGAUAAAGGGCAUACGUAUGCUUGCAAACACAAACACACACACUCUUAUGCAAACAAUACCAAACUAUCUUGACAAGUAAUUCACUAAGAACAACAACAACUCUGGCAAACUGUUAGAUCUGGAAACUUCUUAAUAAUUUAGAGCCUUAAGAAAAGAGUUCUGGUAAAUAAAAUUUUGAUUAGCAAGUCAAGCCUUUUUAUUUGAGGGUCAAUUUUUUUUUUUCUUUUUUUUUUUUUUGAGAAAUACACCAUGUAGUUGUUAUACCUAUCAAUCAUCUUCAAACAGCUUAAGAUACACAAAACACUUAACAACAUGAACAAUAGUCAGUAUACGGGUUUGUAAACUGUCAGAGUAGCAUGCAGUAGAUGGUGAACUGAGUUUUCUGUGUAAACAUGCACUAAACAGACACAUUUGACUGCAGCACUUAUGUCUUUUGCGUGGGGACAGGAUGUUCUAAAAAUGUGGCACUAAAGUUAAAAUAAUUUCAGCAUUUAAAAAACAAAGGUCUCUAGGCCUUGCAUGCCUAUGCCUUGCCUUUUAAAUACAAAUACGUGUUCUGUGUGAACAGCCCAAUGGUCUCUUCGAUAAAACACAAAAGUUUUGCAUUUGUCUGCAACAGACGGGCUGAAUGAAAACGCUAAUUCUCUCUCUGACAGUGGUGCUCAUAGAAAGCAGAAAUACAGUAGUGUACAAGGGGUAGCAUGUGCAAAUUUUUGUUUCAGACACCCACAUGUUAGAGGAAGAGAAGUUAAACAUUAGUUAUAUGUUUUCAUACAGCCAUUCAAAUUUUUUAUUCACUGUGGUGUUUAGGAAAUAACACCAAAUGUAAAAGUACAGAGACGAGAUUCUUCCUUUCCUGUUCACUAUUGCUUGGCAAAAUAUUCUCUUCAUAAGCACCACCAAAUUGCAGUUUUAAGUAACAGCAGCAAAAUUUGGUUGAGUCGUACAACUCAGAAAUCGGCUCAAAAUUGGAUGGAAAUUGCAGUGUAUGCUCAACUUUAACUUUAAGUUUAAGUUUAGUUAAUUCAUUUACAUAUGGCCCACAUACACUCUGAAGGUGAAAGAGAUGCACAUUAAAUCAUAACCCAAGGUUAUCCAUUCAUUCACUCAAAAAAAUAAAAUAAAAUAAAAAAUAAAUAAAUAAAAUAUAUCUACCAAUUCAAAUCACAAACUGUCACUUUAAGGGGCCACUGAAUUGAGGUCAUGUCUCAAUUACUUUCUAGUGAGGAAAAAAUAAUCCAAAUUGAUUUGAUACUAUCUUAUCUGUUUAGACAAAGCGACAAGUCUGUUGUCGCCUAAAUAUCUAUCAG